GACGAACGCUGGCGGCGUGCUUAACACAUGCAAGUCGAACGAAGAGCGAUGGAAGCUUGCUUCUAUCAAUCUUAGUGGCGAACGGGUGAGUAAUGCGUAAUCAACCUGCCCUUCAGAGGGGGACAACAGUUGGAAACGACUGCUAAUACCGCAUACGAUCUAAUCUCGGCAUCGAGGAUAGAUGAAAGGUGGCCUCUACAUGUAAGCUAUCACUGAAGGAGGGGAUUGCGUCUGAUUAGCUGGUUGGGGGGGUAACGGCCCACGAAGGAUGGUGCGUAGCCGGUCGGCGAGGAUGGACGGCCAACUUGGGAGUGAGACACGGCCCAGACUCCUACGGGAGGCAGCCAUGGGGAAUCUUCCGCAAUGGACGGAAGUCUGACGGAGCAAGGCCGCGUGAGUGAUGAAGGCCUUCGGGUUGUAAAGGUCUGUUUAUCGGGACGAAAGGCCUUCUUGCUAAUAGGGAGAAGGAUUGACGGUACCGGAAUAAAAAGCCCCGGCUAACUACGUG
This 508-nucleotide ribosomal RNA is filed under the name uncultured bacterium. Its description in RNAcentral is "partial 16S ribosomal RNA". It matches the Rfam family "Bacterial small subunit ribosomal RNA", at positions 28 to 507 of the family's 1533-position model. The record is from RNAcentral.